RNAcentral lists this long non-coding RNA (714 nucleotides) under Olea europaea subsp. europaea. Lineage: Eukaryota; Viridiplantae; Streptophyta; Magnoliopsida; Lamiales; Oleaceae. The record is from RNAcentral.
AUCAUUUUUCCUUCCACACACUCAUCUCCCUCUCCCUAUUUCUCUCCUCUCUCUACCUCGACCUACUCCUUCCCUCACUGUUAGGACGUCGCACCCACCAUCAUCUGGCGUCACACCACCAUCUUCUCGACCUAUCUCUUCCUUCAUUUUGACGGCUGCAAAUGACAGUAGCACCAGUAGGCAGCGGUGCUUACAGCCUGAAGCGACGAAGCAGUAGUGUCGCCUCAAAAGCCUGGUUGAGCGGGAUGGUUCGUCGCUGUGGAUAGCGCCACUAUGCAUAGAAAGGCGGUGGCGCCUCGGUGUUUUUUUAGGAAUUUUUUAAAUUUAUCUACUGUGAGAGGUUUUUUGUUGGUGAUUUUCUUAUUAAAUUUACUGUGAUGGCUUGUUGGUAGCUGUGGUGGUUGUGUAAGUUGGUGGUUUGCAUUAAUUGCCGGUGUAAAGGGUUGCUUCAAUGGCUUUGACAUUAUCUUUGGGCUUCUUUGCGAUCUAUUUUGUAGGAGUGCUGGGCGUUUGGUGGUGAUGCAGGUCAUGGUAAUGUGGUGGUGCUGGUGUUUUCUAUAGUGGUGGAUUUGGCAAAUUGGGGUUUUGUUGAAUUUGGCAAUGGUAGGGGGCGGUGAUGGUGGUAUGUUUGUGUUGUCUUUGUUGUUGUUGACGGUGGUUGUGAUGGUGUUGUGCAGGCGAUGGUUGUGAGGUGGUGGUCAUUUUUGUUGUUGG